AUUGAACGCUGGCGGCAUGCUUUACACAUGCAAGUCGAACGGUAACAGGUUAAGCUGACGAGUGGCGAACGGGUGAGUAAUGCAUCGGAACGUGCCCGGUCGUGGGGGAUAACGCAGCGAAAGCUGCGCUAAUACCGCAUACGAUCUAAGGAUGAAAGCGGGGGACCGUAAGGCCUCGCGCGAUCGGAGCGGCCGAUGUCAGAUUAGGUAGUUGGUGGGGUAAAGGCUCACCAAGACAACGAUCUGUCGCUGGUCUGAGAGGACGACCAGCCACACUGGGACUGAGACACGGCCCAGACUCCGACGGGGGGCAGCAGUGGGGAAGUUUGGACAAGGGGCGAAAGCCUGAUCCAGCAAUGCCGCGUGCAGGAAGAAGGCCUUCGGGUUGUAAACUGCUUUUGUACGGAGCGAAAAGGUCUCCUCUAAUACAGGGGGCUCAUGACGGUACCGUAAGAAUAAGCACCGGCUAACUACGUGCCAGCAGCCGCCGUAA
This 493-nucleotide ribosomal RNA is filed under the name uncultured bacterium. RNAcentral's name for it is "partial 16S ribosomal RNA". It matches the Rfam family "Bacterial small subunit ribosomal RNA", at positions 29 to 523 of the family's 1533-position model. The record is from RNAcentral.